CUGGAGUCACUUGUGGCACGACGAGAAGCCUGUGGGCAGGGGCUGUCCAGCCUGGCAGCCUCAGGCUCCUCACACCUGCUGCGGACACAGAAGUCCAUCCCUAGGAGCACAGAAAGGGCCCCUCCGUUCUCCCCAUGGAAGUGGCACGUUCAGGACGGGGGUCACUGGUCCAGGCGGGCUGAUGUCUACCUUCCUGCCUGACACUCGGAAAGGCCACGCACACAACCUCCUGCUCACUAAUGAGGAGUGCCUUUCGACCCAACAAAAGAAGCUCUGAGGAAAAUACGGCCUGCUGUUUUUUUCCCUUAAAGAACUGUGAAGAUCAAAAUGUUUUGUUUGAACUUCUGAGGGCACCCAUAAAUCGUAUCAAUACAUAAGUAGAUGUCAAAGACCAAGUGAGUUCUUGGUGGGGUGUGUGUGUGAAGUCACCUGUCUUGUCUUACCUCCCAUAAUUCUAGGAAAGCCUAUGGCUUAGCCAUCUGGGCCAGUGAGUUGUAUGUCCACAUCCUUAGCAUGAAGACACAGCCUCAUUUCCCAUGACAGGAAUCUCUUAGCCUUGCCCAACUGAACACUCUCCCACAGCAUUGAAAGGACUCUUGAUAAUGGGAGGACAACAGCGUGGAUGACGAGACCAAGGACACUGCAGUCUUAGUGGGGCUGCCACACCGGCUGGGGCCUGGGGCACUUCUUAGCUUCCAUGAGCACCAGGCCUUCACCCAAACACUCGAUGCCUCUGGCUCUGAAGGGUAAACUGUGGAGGUAUAAUUAAUGAGCCUCCCAGACAGGAAGGUGAAAGGUUUAAAAGGAAAGAGAGAGAACUCAAGUCAACAGGAGAGCCAAGCUGCUGAUCAACCAGUUUAUUGAACUAGCUUUUCUAUUUCUGGGUUUUAUGGUCCAUGUAGUUAGUCACACAGCUAGGUUCUCCUCAGGAUCUAAUCUGCUUUGCUCUGUCUGGGUUUUGGUAUGAAUCAUCAGCAUACAACUAAGCCUUCACCACACUGGCAUCAGGAGGGUAUACCUUCUAACUGCUAUACAGGAUGCAUUUUUUAUGUUUCUAGAGAGAGCACUACCGAGAAGCGUCAUUAGCCAUCAGGGAAUGUAAAUCAAAACCACAAUGAGACAGCACUUCACACCCACUAGGAUGGCUAGAACUAAAAAAAAAAGAUAAUAAACACAUGUUGUCGAGAAUGUGGAAAAACUGGAACGCUCAUAAUUUUUGGUGAGAAUGUAAAAUGGUGCAACCGAUUGGACAAAUAGUUGGGCAAUUCCUCCAAAUGUUAAAUGUAGAGUUACCAUAUGAUCUGGCAAUUCCACUCCUAGGUAUAUACUCAAGAAACACGAACACAUAUAUACACAUAAAAACUUGCAUGAGAAUGUUUGUAGCAGCAUUAUUCAUAAUAGCUGAAAACUGGAAACAAUAAAUGUCUAUUGACUGAUGACUUGAAUAAACAAAAAUGUGGUCUAUCAAUACAGUGGAAUAUCAUUCUGCAACGAAAAGGAAUGAAAGACGGAUACAUGGUAUAACGUGAAUGAACCUUGAAAACAUUACGCUAAGUAAAGGAAGCCAGUCACAAAAAAGACCACACACUGUAUAAUUCCAUUUAUAUGAAAUGUCCAGAAUAGGCAAACCAUAGAAACAGGAAGUAAAUUAGUGGCUGCCAGAAGCUGGGGAAAGGGAAGAAUGGGGAUUGACUAGUAAUGGGCGUGGAGAUUUUUGGGGAGUGAUGAGAAGGUUCUGAAAUUAAAUAUUAGUGAUGGCUGAACAAUUCUGUGACUACUAAAGUCCAAUGACUUUGGGUGAAUGUAAGAGGUGUAUAUAUAUACAUAUAUAUAUGUAUGUAUAUAUACAUAUAUGCUUCAC
This is a long non-coding RNA of Physeter macrocephalus (sperm whale), 1861 nucleotides long. RefSeq lists it as uncharacterized. The record is from RefSeq and is a predicted model, not a curated record. Lineage: Eukaryota; Metazoa; Chordata; Mammalia; Artiodactyla; Physeteridae. The transcript is spliced from 4 exons.